Molecule: unclassified non-coding RNA, 245 nt
Filed under: Leptosphaeria sp.
Lineage: Eukaryota; Fungi; Ascomycota; Dothideomycetes; Pleosporales; Leptosphaeriaceae
Description: partial internal transcribed spacer region
Rfam family: Eukaryotic small subunit ribosomal RNA (bases 1-46)
Source: RNAcentral
AAGUCGUAACAAGGUUUCCGUAGGUGAACCUGCGGAAGGAUCAUUACCUUUCAAUGCAGAAGAGUUGAGAUGGUUGAGUAUCUCGCCUCUCAAUUCUCGCUGUAUUUUACCCUUGUUUUUCUCAUACUAUUAUUUCCUCGGCAGGCUCGCCUGCCGGGGGAAACAACUUCAAACCUGUUUAAUUUUCAAUCAGCGUCUGAACAAAUUAAUAAUUACAACUUUCAACAACGGAUCUCUUGGUUCUG